CUACGUGCCAGCAGCCGCGGUAAUACGGAGGGUGCGAGCGUUAAUCGGAAUAACUGGGCGUAAAGGGCACGCAGGCGGUGACUUAAGUGAGGUGUGAAAGCCCCGGGCUUAACCUGGGAAUUGCAUUUCAUACUGGGUCGCUAGAGUACUUUAGGGAGGGGUAGAAUUCCACGUGUAGCGGUGAAAUGCGUAGAGAUGUGGAGGAAUACCGAAGGCGAAGGCAGCCCCUUGGGAAUGUACUGACGCUCAUGUGCGAAAGCGUGGGGAGCAAACAGGAUUAGAUACCCUGGUAGUCCACGCUGUAAACGAUGUCGAUUUGGGGGUUGAGCUUUGAGCUUGGCGCCCGUAGCUAACGUGAUAAAUCGACCGCCUGGGGAGUACGGCCGCAAGGUUAAAACUCAAAUGAAUUGACGGGGGCCCGCACAAGCGGUGGAGCAUGUGGUUUAAUUCGAUGCAACGCGAGGAACCUUACCCGGGCUUGAA
This 483-nucleotide ribosomal RNA is filed under the name uncultured bacterium. Its description in RNAcentral is "bacterial SSU rRNA". It matches the Rfam family "Bacterial small subunit ribosomal RNA", at positions 501 to 985 of the family's 1533-position model. The record is from RNAcentral.